Molecule: non-coding RNA, 7711 nt
Organism: Callithrix jacchus (white-tufted-ear marmoset)
Lineage: Eukaryota; Metazoa; Chordata; Mammalia; Primates; Cebidae
Source: RefSeq, a predicted model, not a curated record
AAAAAAUGAAGUUAAAUGAAACUCUCUCUGCAACAUUGGAUAAAACCUUUUGCUGUUUCUUGCUGAGCCCACCUGGCUGAUGCCAUCAGGGAAAGACAAAUCACAGCAGAUGAAGACUGUGACUUUCAGGGGAUAAAUAAGGGAAACAGAAAACCUCUUCAUUCAAGAGAAGUCAUGAUUUGAAAGUGUGUUAUGAAUGCUUCACCAUCAAGGACUCUGUGGAGGAGGGAAUGGAGGACAGUGUUUUUAGAAACUGUGACCUCUGGGCAAGCCUCACUUUAAACAAUGGAGAAAUUGAGGUGUGGAGGGACCACACAGAGGCCAACACCCUGCACGGGGCGAGACUCAAUGGCAGAAACGUGGUUAAAAUGACUGAUGGAAUUGAUCGGGCUAAGUCAUUCUCUACGUUUCACUUUCAAAUGUUUCAAAUCAUGAAGACUGCUUGACUGGCUGUUGGCUUUGUGCUAUGAAGGCACAGCCAAGGAAGGGGUGAGCUGCCUUUUUCUUUAGACUUGGUAAAGCCAGGAAGGCAGAUGAAUGAGGGGAAGAAGUCAUACACACACUGUUCACUUUGCAGCUGUAUUUAUCUGGCGGUUCAGUUUGCCAGUUCAAGGGGGAGAAGGACCAUUGGGGAAGGGAGGGGUGGGGAGGAGAAACUCUAAGGGCAAAUUACAAUGGGCAUUCUGAAAAGACAGUAACGUUUUCUUUUUCUAUGACAUUUAAAACCCAGACUUGAAUUCUUUAUUCAAUUAAAAACACCCACUAAGGUCAGGCAAAAUUUAACCAUGUAAUGCAGGAUGCUGGCCACCUUUUGGGGAGGAAAAACCACUUCCUGGCUCCAGAACUGGAUCUGAGGAGGGACCUGGGGAGAUUAAGGCAGGUUGCUACACUGAAGUCUUGAGAGCCUGAAGAGGAGGCCCUAUUGCUGUUAAUGCUUCCCAUCCUACCCUCCAGGAAGCCCCAGGGAGUGCAGAGAUGGAAGCAGGAGGUGGAAGCUUAGGAGUUUCCACCAUCUUGGAGGCCUUCAGAUAGGUAUGGCCACCCACCUGUGGAUCACAAUGGGGACCCUGGGGAGAGGGGCUUGGAAAGGAUUAAAGCAGAGUUGGAAGGAGGCCCAGGGAAGCCAGGAUGCCCAGCUGAGGCAGGCUCAAUGCCCAGUCUGCAGCUGAGCUCUGCAGUUUGCCAGCCAUAUGACCAUGGGCCGAUUUAACCUACCUAAGUCACAAUUUUCUCCUCUGUAAAAUGAGGAUAAUAGUAUGUAUCACAGAGUCAUUAAUUUUUUUUUCUUAUUUUUUUAUUGCAUUUUAGGUUUUGGGGUACAUGUGCAGAGCAUGCAAUACAGUUGCAUAGGUACACACAUGGCAGUGUGUUCUGUUUGCUUUCACCCCUUCACCCACAUUUGGUGUUUCUCCCCAGGCUAUCCCUCCCCACCUCCCCCUCCCACUGGCCCUCCCCUUUUCCCCCCAAUAGACCCCAGUGUUUAGUACUCCCCUCUCUGUGUCCAUGUGUUCUCAUUUUUCAUCACCCGCCUAUGAGUGAGAAUAUGCGGUGUUUCAUUUUCUGUUCUUGUGUCAGUUUGCUGAGAAUGAUGUUCUCCAGAUUCAUCCAUGUCCCUACAAACGACACGAACUCAUCAUUUCUGAUUGCUGCAUAAUAUUCCAUGGUGUAUAUGUGCCACAUUUUCCCAAUCCAGUCUAUCAUCAAUGGGCAUUUGGGUUGAUAGAGUCAUUAAUUUAACAUGAUAAUGUAUCUAGAAGUGCUUCUUGUGCAGUCUGAUACGUGUGAAAGAUCCAUCAUCAUCAUCAUCAUCAUCACCAUCAUCACCAUCAUUCUCAUCAUGGUUGCAACAGGACUUGAAUUCUGAACAUGUGACUCCUGGGACCUGGGAAGCAAAGCUCUCAAAUGAAAAUGCGGUUAGCUGAAGCAUAUAUUCAUUUUGGGAAGCAGGCACUUCUGAGCAGGAUGAUACACUGUGGCCUGGUCAAGGGUGUAACCAUGGUAAGGAAACAAGUUGCCUCCUGGAAAAAAGAAAUCUCACCAGUUUGCAUGAGAGUAGGAGCACCGAUGCUUGGCCCAAGGACAAGGUCCAGAGGUGGAGAAGAUUAAGGUGGCUGUGAAUACAGGAUGAAGACCUUUUUCAGCCUACUGCCCUUAAGUGUGUGUAAGUUCCAAGAGAGUAAGAGAAAUCUUUCCUGUACCAGAGUGGGAGUUCUCUCUAGUGUGGUGGACACCGUUGCAUGGCAUGGAGGUGCUCUAAGCAACUAUGCACUCUGCAAUGGUGGCACCAGGAGCUGCUGAAGAGGUAAGACAAACAAUGCUCCUGUCCAGGCCGGGGGAUCAGACCAAAGUCAUGGAAUUUUUCACCAGGAGCAGCUCAGCCUUGGUGGCCCAGCAGCAGUGACAGCCCUGCAGACAUCAAAGGAACUGGGAAACAAUCCCAGCAGAGAGGCAGGGCAGAAGAGAAGGAAAAUGAGGGACAAGGUACGAUGUUUGGGAGCACAUGUACAGUGUUCCCUGGGCAUCCUCAGAAAGACUGGAAGGGGGUCCUCGGCUGGGGGUUUCUGGUGGUUCUGGAAGAGCUGUUGAAAGCAGAGUAAGAAAGGAACAGCAUGUGCCUGGUUAUGAUCCCAGUUUUCCCCUCAGGCUGGUGUGGUGGCCUAGGAAACACACAUUGUGCAAGUAAACAAAUCACUAUUGGGAGGCUUAAAAGAUCAAGCAUGGCCUUGCCUCCUUUUACAAACACUCAGACAUGCAAACUGGUGUCAUUUUAAGCAGCUUUCUCAACAGAGCAGGGUAUGCAAAACUGCAUGUCAGAUAUGAUAGUGGGUCCAGACGUCAAUAUCAACCUAGUGAGUGCAAGUAGAAUUUGAAAAGUAAAAUCAUUUUGAAUAAAAAAUUAGAGCAUAUUGCAUCAGUAAGGAUAACUAUUGCCUUGUGAAGCCUUUGUUUCCAUUCUUUGUGUAUGUAUGUAGGCACAAUUUUGAUAUAAAUUGUGCUUCUUUCAGUUUACAACCAAAAAAAAAAAAAAAGAAAGAAAGAAAAAGAAAGGACGGAAAACUGCUUUAGAGGAUGCUGAAGAUCCUUUCCCAAUCCAGGAGUCCAAAAUGGCAGGGAAAUGAUCUUGACUCCAAUAAAUUUCACUUACUGGUUGAAGUUAGCAAUUAGACUUGUUGGAAUAUUGUUUCUGUUCUUCACUGGCUGUGUGAACUUGGGCAAGUUGCUUAGCUUCUCUGUGCCUCAUUUGCAACAUUAAUAAAGUAAAAAUAACAAUACUAUUUCUGCAUUGUUGAUAUUAGGAUGAGUGACGAUGUACAUGAAGAGAAUGUUGCAAAGUGGCAUUUGACUACUGAUAGUUCCACUGGAAAUAAAUGGGAAGGGGGUCAAGGGACGAUCUUUAAGAUUAUUUAGCAGUAGUAGGUCAUUAGGGCUCUUUGGUAGCAAGUGGCAGACACUGACUCUGCCAACAUAAGUGUAAAAGGACCUUGUUGCCUUGUUGAUAGAAUGACUCACAGAAUCCAAGGAGGGGUUGACUAAGCAGGAUUUGAAUGAAGGAACUUGUGAGAACUUGGGAAUAUAUGUGGCAGGAGCUAAUGGAUGAUGCGCUCUGACAGAUCUAGUCCAAUUUAUUCUUAUCCCCAUGGUCCUCCCCAAAAGAUAGAGUAUGAUGGACUGAGCUUGGGUCAGGCGCCCUGCCCAUUGGAGCACUUUGGGCAGGCAAUCUCACCAAGAUUGCGCAUGGUGGGAGAGAGGUGGUUCCAUGAAGGCAAGUUGGGUACUGCUGUCAGAGCAGAGAGAGCAGAGGCUGGGCAGGUGACAUCCAGGGACACUCAUUCGAGUAGGUGCACCAGGCUCUGAUAGCUAAUUUCAUUGACCUUUGCCCCUAACUCAACCUCAUGGUCUUAAAGAGAAAUGACCAGAAGACAAUUUAGACAGAUAUGAAUACUUUUGCCAAGGACAGCUAACCUCUGGUGUUCUAACUGUGGAAUCAGGGGAUUUUUGUCUCUUAUAGUAUAUGAGAAUAGAAAUUGGGCCAAGACAGGAGUUCAGAAGUAAUAAUAAUGAAAGCUGACUCUCAUAAAAUGCAUAUUAUGUGCCAGCUGCAAUUCUAAAGCACUUUACAUAUAUUGACUCACUUAAUCCUCAUAACAAUGCCAUGGGCUAGAUAUUACUAUUAUUUCCCCUAUAUUAGCAGAAAAGGAAACAGGGUCAGAGAUUAAGUUGUUGGCCCAUGGUCCUGAAUCUAGUGAGAGGUGGUGCUGUGAUCGAAACCAGGUGUCCUGGCUCUGACGUCCACAGCGUUAGCCACUGCUGGAUACUGCCCCUCUGAUGGGCUGUGUAGAAUGAGAGAUGCUGUGAGCUGAUUUGGAGCUGGUAGCGCCUCACUGGCUGGGCACUACUAUUGUACUACAAUUCCCAGCAUGCAACUGGGCUGGCUAUCAUCUUAACCCUUUCUUCACCAAAAGUUCCUCACUGUGUUGGGUAAAAUCUUUUUUAUUGGCAAAAUCUGAUCUCCCUCAUGGAUAGUUAUGCAAUUGAGGCAUAAAUGUAGAUAUAAGUGGCAGUAAAUAGUGAAGAGGGUAAGAUUCUAAGUUAAAAUAGCCUCCGUAUUUUUAGUAUUUGAAAUGACUAUGGGAACAAUUUUUUUUUGACUUAGAAAUGUAUACUAUGAAAUUGUCGAUGGGGAUGUUUUAAAGCACCCAUUCUCAAACUUGGCUACACUUUGGAAUCAUCUGGGGAAUUAAAAAAAAACAUCUUAAAGUUUGGGUCAUAUUUCUAGAGGUUCUGAUUUAAUUGGUCUGGGGUAUGAUAAAGAAUUCCCCAUGUAUAAAAGAGGAGGCAUAGCUUCUCAUAUAGUGGGGGCAUAUGAGGAAGCAUCAGGGCUGGUCAGGGGCCUGGGGGAGCAAGGGGAAAAUGCAGACAUUAUUGUGAUUUCUGCAGGAACGGUAAUGCAAGACAGGGUAAACAGGCUUUGAAUCAUUUCAGUGAGCUUUAGGGCAUAGGGACUGUUCCUAGUUGUCUGGUACCUGGCCCUGGGGUGAUUAGAGCAGGUGGAUGGUGGCCCUGAGAAAUAGCCCAAUAAAGGAAGUGGUUAGGGGUGACUCUAGAUUGGUUGGUUUGCAGCGGAAAGAUGCGCUCUCCCACGUGAGCCACUUACUGUCCCUCCGAGUUGGCUAACCCAGGGAGGGGCAGUCCCUCCAGGGUCAGCACAACCCCAGAUGUCACAGCAUCAGGAUACAGAAAAUUUAGAAACAUGUUUAAUAUACCCUUCCACUCUUCAGCAGAAAGCAGCUGACCAGGCUUAAAGAGAACUGGAAACAGCCUGAAGCCUCGGGAACCAUCCCUUAGGACUGGUGGACUGCAGGAAAGACAGCAGGAGGGCCAGUGAAACCAGGAGGAUUUCAGCCCUGGCCCUAUUUAGUUAACCAAGAUUCCAAACCUGUCACAGAAUGACACUCAGACAAAUGUGAAAAAAGGCGGCAAAUUCUUCUUUAGAAAGACUCCUUGCAGAGACAUCUGCACUCCCAUGUUUAUUGCAGCACUAUUCAUAAUAAUCAAGAUAGGAAAUCAGCUUACAUGUCCAACAACAGAUGAAUGGAUAGAGAAAAUGUAGCAUAUCUACACCAUGGAAUACUAUUUAGCCAUAAAAAAAAACAAUGAAAUCCUGUCAUUCAUGGCAACAUGGAUGUUGGAACUAGAGGACAUUAUGUUAAGUGAAAUAAGCCAAGAACACAAAGUUAAACACCACAUGUUCUCAUUCAUACAUGGAAGCUUAAAGAAGAUGAUCUCAUAGAAGAAAAAAGUAGAACAGAGGAUACUAGAGGCUGGGAAGGGUAGGAGAAGUGGGGGAGGGGAUACAGAGAGUUUUGUUAAAGGAUAUAAAAUUGCAGCUAGAGAGGAGAAAUAAGUUCUAGUGUUCUAUACCACUGCAGAAUGACAAUGGUUAACAAUAAUAUAGAGUUCAAAUAGCUAGAAGGAGUAUACUGAAUGUUCCCAACAAAGAGAAAUGAUAAAUAUCUGAGAUGAUGGAUAUGCUGAUCACCCUGACGUAUCAAAAUAUUGCUGUGUACCCCAUGCAUAUGUAUACUUACUAUUUGUCAAUUAAAAAAUAAAUUUUUAAGAAAGCCUCCUUGAAGGCAGUACCCACAAUUUAUUUCUUUCUAGGCCCUUGGUUAAAUGAUUGUUACCUAGGAGAAACAGUUAAAAUGGUCUUGUAAAAGAGAAAAGUUAGUUUAGAGCUGUGGGCUGGUACUUCACUCUUAAAAAAUAGAGUUUUUCUUAAUUUUUAUUACCAAAAUUAAGUAUGCUGAAUUUAUAUAUUACUAUACCUAUCUUCAGACUCAAGCAGAACCUGAAUUAGCCAUCGAUUGAAGGUUAUUGCUUAUGUCCCCAAGGGAAGAGCCUCCUCUGGCUCAUGCUGGUGGGAGAAAUUGAACCAGCUCUGCUUUCUCUCCCUGGUUUAAUUCUCAGCAAAGGAAAAACAAUAUAAUUUUCAAUGAUGUUGACAAUGACAAUGAUAACAACAAUAACCAACCUUUAACACAUCCUUGUAAUGUGCCAGGCUCCAUUGUAGGUGCAUUAGAAUCAUUACCUCAUUUAAUCCUUGUAACAUAGUUUGGUUAAUUUGCCCCCAUUUUUUAUAUGAGCAAACUGAGGCAUGGAGAGGCUAAGCACCUUGCCCAAGAAUAAGAGUCUGCACUGGCUUAAAAGUGAGGCAUUCAGACAUUAGCGUCCAUGCUCUGAAUUGCUCCACAGCACCAUCUCCUUGUAUUGGAGUGAUUUCCUGGAGCAAAGGUGAUCUGAUCUUAUUCACACAGGGGCAGGCAAUAACUGCCUGAGUACAGAACUCCUAUGAGGCGAAUGGUAUUGGAACCCUGAGCUAGUCUAGUUACAUAACUAGCAUAACCCUUGGAAAAGCUGUCACAUAAGGGAAGGCUGCCUCUGGGACUAGAAGAAAGAAUAUGCCAAGAUCUCCUUCUGCAAUGGAUGAGCUGUUUGACCUUGGGCUGAAGCCUUCACAUUUAGGGUCUGAUUUUGCAAGGAAGUUCUUGGGCUGGGUGAUCUCUGGAGAUCCUGUCAUGUAAGCAGCCCCCGCCAGCACUCCUACUGGGGAGUGAUUACCGUAAAGACAAGGAAAGUGGUAAGCAAGUUCUUGCACCUCCCAAAGUAAGUAGCAAAUAGCUGUUUGGGUGUCCUGAGGAGUUCUGAAAACAUUGGGCCUAGUUGCCUCCUGCUUCAUCUUGCACCAUAUGCCUGAAGCUACUGAAUGAAUAAACAUCACUCGAGGCUAUUUCUGGAUGCUCAAGAAACUUUGAAAAAAGAAAGAAAUGAUUAUUUAGUGAGGAGAGUAUUAUAGAAGACCCAGGAGAAGACAUGGUAGGGAGGAGAGUGAGGAUUCUCAUUGUUUUGAUCCUUGAAUUCUCUUUAGGUGGACUGGAAAUGCUAGACUUCCCGUUGUUGGACUGGAAAUGCUAACACCCUGAAACUCUUAGGACCUCUGUGUGAAGAACUGUCCUGCCCCAAAUGCUCUUAGGAGUAAAAGAGUUUCUCACAGUGGAAACACAGCAAACCUCUUUGUGCAUUUUUCUGAACAUCAAUCAAUAAUCCAUUAACUUGGGGGAAGCUGAAUGCUCUUCAUACAGGAAUCCAAAAUAAAUUGACAGCUAUCCUCUGGCAAGAACUGUAGAAAGGCUGUAUAGGCUUGGACAAAGCA